Octopus bimaculoides (California two-spot octopus) is the source of this 390-nucleotide long non-coding RNA. RefSeq lists it as uncharacterized. The record is from RefSeq and is a predicted model, not a curated record. Lineage: Eukaryota; Metazoa; Mollusca; Cephalopoda; Octopoda; Octopodidae.
UACGUAUUUAAUAUUUUUUGGAAGAGUGAAAGCUAGGAGUCGACUCAACGCAGAGUUUGACUUCAGAGUAUAGAGGGACAUAACUGACGAACAUAAAACAAUGCAAUUAGUAAACUCGACUAAGGUCGAGCACAGAACCAUUUCUUCGCCACACCACAUGGCUUUCCCAUCAACUACUAAAUACGAUGCGAUUCAGUUUCGUGGAUCCCUGAUCAAGUUGUUGACAAACAGCAGUGCGUUCACCUAACUUUCAAACAAGGAUCACAGAGAGUGAAGUAACAGCAUUGUAAGACUGAUGUGUUUCAAUGACUUGCAGUGACUUAAAUAACUUCAAAAACUUACUUUGGUUGUAUGUAGGUGCUAUGAGAAGUAAAACUAUCUUUAAAUAAU